Molecule: ribosomal RNA, 301 nt
Filed under: uncultured bacterium
Lineage: Bacteria
Description: partial 16S ribosomal RNA
Rfam family: Bacterial small subunit ribosomal RNA
Source: RNAcentral
CAGCCGCCGCGGUAAAACGAAGGUCCCGAGCGUUGUUCGGAAUCACUGGGCGUAAAGGGAGCGUAGGCGGCGUGGUAAGUCAGAUGUGAAAUCCCGGGGCUCAACCCCGGAACUGCAUCCGAUACUGCCAUGCUAGAGGAUUGGAGAGGUAGCUGGAAUUCUUGGUGUAGCAGUGAAAUGCGUGGAGAUCAAGAGGAACACUCGUGGCGAAAGCGAGCUACUGGACAAUAACUGACGCUGAGGCUCGAAGGCCAGGGUAGCGAAAGGGAUUAGAGACCCCGGUAGUCCCUGUCUCUUAUAC